Molecule: long non-coding RNA, 276 nt
Organism: Homarus americanus (American lobster)
Lineage: Eukaryota; Metazoa; Arthropoda; Malacostraca; Decapoda; Nephropidae
Exons: 3
Source: RefSeq, a predicted model, not a curated record
GCAACAGGUCCCUAUUACAGGCAACAGGUACUAUAUACAGUCAACAGGUCCCCUAGUACAGGCAACAGGUACUAUAUUCAGUCAACAGGUCCCCUAUUACAGGCAACAGGUCCCUAUUACAGGCAACAGGUCCCCUAUUACAGGCAACAGGUCCCCUAUUACAGGCAACAGGUCCCCAUUACAGGCAACAGGUGCUAUAUACAGUCAACAGGUCCCCUAUUACAGGCAACAGGUACUUAUACAGGUCAACAGGUCCCUAUUAAGGCAACAGGUGCU